GCCCUUGUAGUAUAAUGGAUAGAACAUAAGAUUCCGGUUCUUAAGAUGGGGGUUCGAUUCCCCCCGAGGGCA
Molecule: transfer RNA, 72 nt
Organism: Brochothrix campestris FSL F6-1037
Lineage: Bacteria; Bacillati; Bacillota; Bacilli; Caryophanales; Listeriaceae
Rfam family: tRNA
About the family: Transfer RNA (tRNA) molecules are approximately 80 nucleotides in length.
Source: Rfam